This is a long non-coding RNA of Hyla sarda, 250 nucleotides long. RefSeq lists it as uncharacterized. The transcript is spliced from 3 exons. The record is from RefSeq and is a predicted model, not a curated record. Lineage: Eukaryota; Metazoa; Chordata; Amphibia; Anura; Hylidae.
UGGGGAGCAGUCUGCAAGUUGGACCUUAGGCUGCUGUAUAUCUGGUUCCUGGUUCUAUGCAUCUGGCCAGGCAAAAAAGGGAUCGAAAAGACAUGCUGUGAGUAGCCAUGAACUGAAUAUUGAAUUAGCCUGUAUGAAGAUAUCUAGUGGGUAAAAUUAUAAUGGCCAAAUAUAAGUUCUAGUUGUCCUGACAAUGGCCCUGCACGUUACCCAGCCUGUUACCGACACCGUUGUUCACACCUGACCAGAG